Molecule: ribosomal RNA, 253 nt
Filed under: uncultured bacterium
Lineage: Bacteria
Description: partial 16S ribosomal RNA
Rfam family: Bacterial small subunit ribosomal RNA
Source: RNAcentral
GACGUAGGGGGCGAGCGUUGUCCGGAUUUAUUGGGCGUAAAGCGUGCGUAGGCGGCUGCGCAAGUCGGUUGUGAAACCCCGGGGCUCAACCCCGGAACUGCGUCCGAUACUGCGUGGCUAGAGGUAGGUAGGGGAGAUCGGAAUUCCUGGUGUAGCGGUGAAAUGCGCAGAUAUCAGGAGGAACACCGGUGGCGAAGGCGGAUCUCUGGGCCUUACCUGACGCUCAGGCGCGAAAGCUAGGGGAGCGAACAGG